UUCCGGUUGAUCCUGCCGGACCCUACUGCUAUCGGGGUGGGACUAAGACAUGCGAGUCGAGCGUCUCCAGCUAUGGUGAGACGCGGCAGACGGCUCAGUAACACGUGGCUAACCUACCCUCAGGACAGGGACAAACCCGGGAAACUGGGGCUAAUACCCGAUAGGCGAGGGCGCCUGGAAUGGUUCUUCACCCAAAGGGCUUUGGAAGCAUGCUUUUCAAAGUCGCCUGGGGAUGGGGCCGCGUCCGAUCAGGUUGUUGGUGAGGUAACGGCUCACCAAGCCUAUAACCGGUACGGGCCGUGAGAGCGGUAGCCCGGAGAUGGGCACUGAGACAAGGGCCCAGGCCCUACGGGGCGCAGCAGGCGAGAAAACUUUGCAAUGUGCGAAAGCACGACAAGGUUAAUCCGAGUGUUUCCUGCUAAAGGAAUCUUUUGUCAGUCCUAAAAACACUGAUGAAUAAGGGGUGGGCAAGUUCUGGUGUCAGCCGCCGCGGUAAAACCAGCACCUCAAGUGGUCAGGAGGAUUAUUGGGCCUAAAGCAUCCGUAGCCGGCUGCACAAGUCUUCGGUUAAAUUCAUAUGCUCAACAUAUGGGCUGCCGGAGAUACUGUGCAGCUAGGGAGUGGGAGAGGUGGACGGUACUCGAUAGGAAGGGGUAAAAUCCUUUGAUCUAUUGAUGACCACCUGUGGCGAAGGCGGUCCACUAGAACACGUCCGACGGUGAGGGAUGAAAGCUGGGGGAGCAAACCGGAUUAGAUACCCGGGUAGUCCCAGCUGUAAACUAUGCAAACUCAGUGAUGCAUUGGCUUGUGGCCAGUGCAGUGCCGCAGGAAGCCGUUAAGUUUGCCGCCUGGAAGUACGUACGCAGUAUGAAACUAAAGAUGGCGGGGAGCACACAGGGUGAGCUUGCGUUCAUGGAUCACGCCG
Molecule: ribosomal RNA, 925 nt
Filed under: uncultured archaeon
Lineage: Archaea
Description: bacterial SSU rRNA
Rfam family: Archaeal small subunit ribosomal RNA
Source: RNAcentral